GCCUUCGUGGUGUAAUGAAUGGUCAGCACACUGAGCUGGUAUUUCAGAGGUCCGUGGUUCGAUCCCCGGCGAAGGCC
This 77-nucleotide transfer RNA is filed under the name Stegodyphus mimosarum. It matches the Rfam family "tRNA". From Rfam's summary of the family: Transfer RNA (tRNA) molecules are approximately 80 nucleotides in length. Their secondary structure includes four short double-helical elements and three loops (D, anti-codon, and T loops). Further hydrogen bonds mediate the characteristic L-shaped molecular structure. tRNAs have two regions of fundamental functional importance: the anti-codon, which is responsible for specific mRNA codon recognition, and the 3' end, to which the tRNAs corresponding amino acid is attached (by aminoacyl-tRNA synthetases). tRNAs cope with the degeneracy of the genetic code in two manners: having more than one tRNA (with a specific anti-codon) for a particular amino acid; and 'wobble' base-pairing, i.e. permitting non-standard base-pairing at the 3rd anti-codon position. Lineage: Eukaryota; Metazoa; Arthropoda; Arachnida; Araneae; Eresidae. The record is from Rfam by way of RNAcentral.